Regulatory RNA element from Pseudomonas cremoricolorata, 215 nucleotides. It matches the Rfam family "sucA-II RNA". NCBI's taxonomy places the organism in Bacteria, Pseudomonadati, Pseudomonadota, Gammaproteobacteria, Pseudomonadales, Pseudomonadaceae. The record is from Rfam.
CCGAAGCGCGGGUGGUGAGCCCGCGCCGAGGUGAAACCCGAGCAAGGGCUCACAAAGCCCCGGCUCGUACCUAUGAAGAUAUGAGACCAGCAGGGGCUUCCGGGCUGGUACCCGGAAAAUCUGCAGGAUCUUCGGUGACGUGGUUCGGCCGCGGUAUUGGGCUUCCUACGUUUGCUGAGGCGCUUGCCGAUCAGUCCCCUAACCGAGGGUGACCA